AGUUAAUUUCUUUACUUCAUGUACCUUAUGCUUCUACUUACUAAUCUUGUUUUGGCUUCUGUAGCAUCCCAUGACACUGGGAGUACGGCCCUUUUAUCUCUGGUAGCUGGAUCCGUGGACCAGAGCAGAUUUUACGGAUUAAGUUACAAGCGCAAGCUUAGAGACGGGUUUCGGAAGAGAAAACAGAAUGGGAUCUUGCAAAGGAGUGUUGCAUCGGUACCAAUUAGUCUAUAAGCGGAGACGAAUCUUAGCUGGCAGAGAUUGAAGCAUCGAAGAUAGUUUCUUCUCUUGAACGGGGACAUCCACACAUUUCCUUUAGUUUCGUUUAUAGAGUGUACAGAUUCUUUUAAUUCCUUCCGCAGCUUUUUGCUGCGAGUGCCAAAGUAGAAUUGGGCAAAAGCUGAGUUUUUAGGUUUUUGUUCCGGUUGAUCUAUGUGCUAACCCAUGCUCACUGAACAUGUAAAUUGGACUGAGAAAGUUAAAUGCAAAUCAAGUUUUGAAUUC
Molecule: long non-coding RNA, 504 nt
Organism: Eucalyptus grandis
Lineage: Eukaryota; Viridiplantae; Streptophyta; Magnoliopsida; Myrtales; Myrtaceae
Exons: 2
Source: RefSeq, a predicted model, not a curated record